CCAAGGCAGGGGGUUCGUUUCAGUCAGACUCUUUCUCUGAAAUAAUGGUUUUUAAAUCCUCACAUCUCUAGUUUCUUAGAUUUCAGCUCAGAUUAAGCAGUAGCUCAGCUGGAUAGGACGUAAAAAUAGUUACUUCGGUUGAACCCAACACAGUGAGAGAAAUUCACAGUCACGUCAUGUUGAGAAAGAUGGUGCAUUUCCCUCCCCGUCUGGGACUGGUACAACAUGAAACUGCCCAGUUGUUUCUUGCAAGAAUGAAGCAGAAAAACAUUACUCAGACUAUCAACUGAAGCAAAGGUUGCUGAGGCCAUCUGAAGCCAGUCUUAUGGGGCAUUAACAUGUAAAUAUUAAGUAAAUAUGUCUCUAAAAGUCACUAAGUAUUGUUUCUGAUGCUAAACAGGAUCUGCUUCCCUUGUUUCAUUACGGAAAGACCAAACCUGUGAGAUUCUGCUCCACAUCCACUUCUCCAAGCUGAGAGAGACCUCUGUGGCGCAGGCGUCUGCCCAGUUUGGGGUUCAGCUCACAGAUUCCUGCAGCCUCUGGGCUCUUCUCCAGCCGGGCGGUGGCUUCAUCCUUCCUCUGGCCGGACUGCUAAUGGUAGGUGCCUAACGACAGGCUGCAUUGCCCGUGUGAGCGUACCUAUAAUGAGUCCUGCCUGUAAUUCCACCAGCUGUACAAAGCACACGGAUUAAAUACUACGUGCCACACGGACGAGUGUUUUCUGGGGCGUGCAUUUAUUGGUAAGAAAAAUUCACUAGAAGAGUACCUGAAUUUUAGUCAUAGUGUUGAUUCAUAGCACAUAGAUCUGUUCUACAAUUGCAGUUACUACUUAAAAAGUCAACAAAAGGCUACAGUAUUAUCUGAGCUUCUCUAGCAAUUUCCUCUCUCACAUUAGACAUGCCUUACUUUCCCUUUGUUGUCCAAGGAAAUAUUAUUUGUAUAAUAUUCCACUGUGCUUUAAAUAGUCCUCCAGUUCCUUUCUCAGAUGAAUUAAGAAUAAAGUUACCUCUUAUUAAACAAGCCAUAUUCCUUUGUUGCCUCAGAUUAUCGCAUUCAGGUGUGCUGGGGGGCGAAGAAAAGCGUCCCCCUCUCCCUAAGCCCUGCGAAGCCCUCCAGGGAGCCCCUGUCACAUUUAGUCUUUCUGUCGCUUCCAGAUUCUCUGGGUGUCUCUGAAUAACAGCAGGAUGCGACCCCAGCUGCUGGCUCUUUCCAGAGGCAGGACUCCAGCCACGCGUCGGUGCUGAAUGACCCAGACUGGCCGGUGAUGGUGGCAUCAGCCUCGCAGGCAGGUCUUUGCAGGUGUGCACCACCGCUUGGGAUCGCUGUGAGAUGGGAGGUUAGCGGUUCCAGAGGAGGAAAAGAAGGAUCACAGUGAAACACCAGCCAGAAAAUGGGUAAUUCAGGGAUGGCAACGCUCUCAUGCACCACCUCUGACAACUGCACGCCCUCUGCAGUGCAUUUUCUUGUGCUUUCGUCCAGCCUGUUUCGUGUUUUCUCUCUCCAGUGGAACAGGUUUGACUGUUUCCCUUGGGAAACCAUAACACAGCAACCACACAGCACUUGCUGUCAAAUUAUUUUUUUUAAUUUUCACUUGAUUUCCUCUCUCCUAUUCGCACAACGCUUCAUAGCUCUUUUCUGUGUAUUUCAGUUCUAAGUAUUUCCCAUGCAAGCACGUCCUUAAAAUAUCUACUGGCUGCUUUCCCUGCCCCAUGUUUUAGCCAAGCUGUAUCUAUACGAUCUUCAAUUUCUCUUUUUUCUCAUGUUAGCGCUUCAGAUCCUACGGUUACGGGUUUUGUGGAUUUUUUUUAACACUGUAGUUUGUUACCCCCCUCUCACCGCCACCGCCCCCCCUCCCGCCAUCAGUGGAGUCCUGGCGCUGUGGUGUCCAAAGGCAGCUGCUGGGUCACGCUGCGAGGACUCCCACUGCGCGCCCGUUGUGGCAGGGCUGGCAUAGGCAGGGAGAAAAAGCUACUUUUAAUGUAUGGUAAGAUGAAAGAGAGCAGCCACAGCAGCACAUUAUAAGAAGCUACAGCGUUGUUCUUUCUCCUCUGCAGCAGUUGACAGUCUGCACACUUUUUGUCUGGACUGCCCGUUUCUAUUUCAGGCGUUCCUUAGAAUGGGGCCCCUUCUUAAGAGAUAAUGUCUUAUUACAGUUGGUCUUUGAUCUCUAAGUGGAGGUCCAGGCACAAGUACAAUUUGCAAUUAUUUCUUAGCAAUAGAAAUUAGAACAGUAGUUGUGUUGCCUCUUUUUAAAGCAAGUUUUGCUUCUGCUAGUGAAUAUCUGCAAUUUGAUCUAUUGUUCCUCACAUGUAGGGGUUUCUUUCCAAGGAAGAAUUCUACUAUCAAGAAUUGAAGAGUUCCUUGGGUAAAUAAUGUGCCUUUAAUAUCUUUAGCCUUCCACUUGGAUCAUUUAUUCACUAUAUAAUAACAGAGAUGAAAACUCUGCAAUAUUUCAUUCUCUUCAUUGGCAACGGGUCCAGCAUAACACAGGUGCCCUUUUUCCUUCUUCCUCAUUCAGUUUUGGGUAAGGUUAGUGAGUGAAUGUGGUGGCCAAACACCACUGCCGCAUGCCACUGUGCUAAUUUCCCUAAGAGCAACGAAGUUACUACCUCGCUUUCUUUGUCUAGCUGUACCUUUGUAGAAGCCUUGGAAAGAUUUAGCUUUCAGGGGGUAUAUGAAUUUUCAUUUCAGUUAAAAUUUAUUUGGACAAAGUGGACAGAAGUCCCUCUUAAAUAAAGAAGUUGUUGGUGGGUUUUUUUGUUUAAAAAAUCUUCACUCUCUGAUUUAAGAAAUUAUAAAGAAAUCAGGUUUUCCAACAGACAGGCGAUCCAGAUGGGAGGUUUAGAUAAUAUGUAACCAUUAAAAAAAGUUUCUAGAGCCAGAACUUAAAAUAUUACACAUUUUAAAAUAUUUUUCUUCUUUUACAACCACCUCUACUAAAUAACGGAGUAUUGUGAUAACAUACCCUAUAAAUAUCUUUACGUAAAUGCAGCUUGACUAGGUGUAUUUUCUGCCCGUGGAUCUGGAUUAGUAUAUAGGUUGAAAUAUUGCCAUAUUGCUUUAAGAAAGUAGAAAGCCCAAAUGUUAUUGCGCUGCACCAGAAGUGAUGAGGUACUUGGUAGGCAGUUACUUAGAUUAAUGAGCAGGAUGUCUGCAGUCCACUAAAGAACAUCGGCAAUCACUCAGACACCUGAGAUACUGCACAGGGAGGGUUGUUCAGACCAGAAAAGGUUCACAUAUAAUACUAAAAAUACAUAAUAUUUUUGCUAAUAAAUGGAGCUUGGAGUCAUGCUCAGUGUAUUCAUAAACUAAUUAAGAAAGGAGAUUAAAAGCGAGUGGGAGAUGCAUGACUAGAGAUAUAAUCAGUAGGAAUACACGCAGUAAAAUGAAUGAGAAACUGAUUAAAUGGGUAUAAAGGGGGAUUGCGAACCAGGUUUUGACCUCGCGGUGUGUUGCUUGGCUAUCUCUGGGCAGCGUUGCGCUUACGAGGUACUGUUCUGGCUGAGUAAAGGGAUCUGCAUGGCAAAGGCAGUCCUGAAACACUGCGCUUAGAGGUAACUGCCUGAGCGAGCCUGGGUUUGCUCUUUUGUACUGAAGAUUUAGUCCAGGGACUGCAGAGGGGAAGAGAAAGAAUGGGCCAAGUGGGCAUUCCCAGAUCAGUUAAGGCUCAAUUAGGUGACCUUUCUGCCUUUGCAGUUCCCUAUAUCUUGAUAGAUAGUAGUUAAGAAUUUUAAUUGUCUGCAACCAAAAUAACAUGGCAUCUUCAUACAGACAACUUGUCAGGGUGGGUAAAUGCGUGGGGCUUUGUAAACUUGACAGUGUCUCUCUAGGUAGCAACUGCUCAUGAUGGAAGGUCCCUGAACUGCUUAAGGUGUAUUUGAAAUAUUAAAAAAGAAAUGGUUGUUUUGUUUUCUCGCUAGCUCCAGCUUGAGCGUUAGAUCAUGUCAAAGUCAAAGUGUAGUUGUUAAUGAUCAGUGCUAGCUGUGCCUGCCGUGAGGGAUGAAAUGGAAAAGGGGGAUUAGGACUAACUUGGCAUCUCUUCUAGAUGCUGGGAAGAGAAAUGCAAGCAGAAAGUCCCAGGUAGUGGCAAUGAUGUCACAGAAUCCCAGGCUGGCGGGGCUGGAAGGGACCCCUGGAGCUCACCCUGUCCCACCCCUGCUGGAGCAGGCACCCCCAGAGCAGGGGCACAGGGCCGCGUCCAGGCGGGGGGUGAAUGUCUCCAGGGAAGGGACCCCACAGCCUCUCUGGGCAGCCUGUGCCCCUGCUCCGGCACCCUCAGACCUGCCACCUCUGACCCUCUGUCCAUACUCACUAGUCAGUGCGUCUCACUCAAAAACAGACACAAAAUGUCAUCAUUGACACAGGAUGGAUAAUCCAGUCUCCAUGCUUGUGCAGCAACUAACAUCAAUUGCUAUGUCUCGUCAGAUCUCAGCCCCUUACUGGAACUGUGUUGAUGUGUGGCCAAAUUUGAGGUUAUUUGCCUUAAUCAACCGCUGCUUUUUUUUUUACCUAACAACUUGUCAAAUGACUGAAUGACAAGUUUGGGAUAAUUAAAUAAAUAUAUCCAAACUAAUUCCCAAUAUUUCUCCAUUACACUGUUCAAAAAGGCAGAGGAAAAAUACCUUUAACAAACACAUUUUCAAGGAAAUUAUAAUUUUCUUCGUGUUAUGAGUAAUGCAAUAUUAAGCACAUACCUCAGCUCUUGCAUUAUGUCUGCAUCUUUGAUGUUAGUGAUCAAAUAUUCAUUGCCUUGAUUAUUCAAAUAAUUAGACAUUUUAUCAGGUUCUUUGAAAAGCUCAGAAGUAAAAAGGCAGAUCCCUUGAAGGGCUGUUCAAUAUUUAGUUUACUGUCAGCAGAAGAGUCAUCAGGCAGGAGGAUACCGUGACAGGGAAAAAAAGUGUUUGUCGCAGAAGGUCUCCAGUUUUCAAAGUGAAUGCUUUAAAACUUUGGCUGUGUUGUAGCUACUCCUUGCUCAGAAACUGGAGGCCAGAUCCUCACCUGGGGACACUUCCCUUCAUUCCGGUAGCUUUAAUGGAAGGAGGGCCAGGCCAGGCCAGGGAGCGCUGGUCUUAGAUGAAAUCCCUCACACAGCUGAAGGGUCUACUCAAGCACCCCUUCUGCUUUGACUUAAAUGGGAUUUAAAGACAAUACCGUGAGGAAACUGCAUUUCUCCCUUGCAGGAGAGUUGAUGAAUAUGCAUAAAAAUAGACUUAAAGAGCAUGUAUAAUUAAAACUGGAUACGUAAAUUUUUCAUUUUCUUUAUGAACAACAAACAGUGACACCAGUAAAAUUCCACCAUUUUUAAGUUAUCAUUUAACAGUUGCUUAAAAAGAAAAAUUGCAUAUUUAGAUCUUUAUUAUGCUUAAUCAUUUCAAGCUUUCCCACUAUCGUGUGGGUGUCGUGGAACAUAAGAAUAAAAUCAGCUUGAUGCUCAUGAAUAAUGUGCGAGAAAUUUUUUUUGUUUGUUAUAAUUUCUACCCCCCAUAUUAAUUGUAAUCAGCAGAGGAGGCAGGCUCUAGUUGUCUUGCUAACGAUAAAUACAAAUAUAGCAAGGGUAUUUUUAUUUGUAUUUAUUUAUUUAUUUCACCCUGGCUCUACUCCAUGCCAAGCAUGUCUCUAAAGAAAGAACAACGGGAGCUCAUCAGUGUGGGUGCACUGUAGAAAUGGGGGGUUGUAGAAUGUAUGUAUGCUUUUUUUAUUGAGAGAUAAAUUAUAAAAGUGCUUUCCAUCACUUUCUGCUACAGGUUUUUUAUUAUGCCUCCAUGCUCCAGACGCUUAUGUAAGUGUGCAGGAAUAUAUUCUCCAAAAAGACAAAAGUGGCUUGACUUAAAUGUUAAUUUUUAUACAGAUUCAAUCAUGGUAAGCAUUAUCUAUAAAAAAAGAGGUCAGCAGGAAUGCUUCCUAAGAAACUACUGUUACAUACAUACAUGCUAUACAUAAGUCCAGGUAACAUUUUACGUGUAUAAUUACAUAAUGAAUUUAGACAAGAAAGCGGGGAUCAUAUGAAACUAAAUCUAUCCAGUUGUUUCUAGAGCACCUUUUCUUUUGCAGCAGUGCAUAUCCAUUACAGCCAUAUCACAGAAAGCAGAAUGGUGACAAACAGGACAAAAACAUAACUGUAACCAUAUUUGCAUGGUGCUUCUGACCCUGUCGAAGGCCCUAAAGGUCCGGAAACUCAUUUUGCCGCCUUCUGUAAUGUUAUUCCCGACAGGUUGCGGUACUGCAGAUGGAGCGCGGUUGUGGACGGGCACAUGAGGUCCCCAGGCCUAUGUGAGCAGCAGGUGGCCGCGCUCGCAAUGGAGGACCUUCCGGGGGUCCCAGGGUCGGCGGGCAGGUCUGACGCCCGCUCUUGCUGCUCACACGCUCCGCAGCUACAGAUGCCAGAAACGCCAAACCAGGAAUCUGCCAACAGACCUGGAGCACUUGGGCUAUUUGGUUUCACCAUCCUAAACUACCCUAUUGCAGCAAUGAUUAAUACGAAGAGUAAAAAACCCAACCAUAUCUUUUUUUUCUGACUUAAGUGUUUGAGGUACAUUUAAGAACAUGCAAAUAGUUAAUUUCUGAAGAAAAAUACACGCUUCUCCGUAUUCAAGCGCUACAUUUUCAAGAGGCUUUUCUUUUUCCUCGAUACUGGAUCAGAAAUAAAAUGAUUGCAGUUGUUACAAAGGACUCAAGGAGAAAGAGGACAGCUGGGAGCAUUAAAAACAGUCCUCAGUCACUGCAAGGUUUUACUCAGAAGCCUGCAAUAGCAAGUAUGAGCAAGAACUAGAGCCACAGAAAUAUUCUGCUUGAAAGCAGCCAGUUAAACCUGCGACUCUUUUCAACGGGGAGAACUGCAUCUGAUUCAGUUCUCUUGUAAAGGACUGAACACUUUCCAUUGGUUUCAAUGCGGACUACGUGAGGUGUCGUGGGCAAGGUCAGCCAGUCACAGAGCUGGGUGAUCUCUCGCGGCAGGCACAGGCUCUGAGCAAAGGAUGCUGCGUAUUGCGCCGUCGCUGUUUAUGUGACUCCCCAGUAACCAAAAAAUACAUACAAAGAAUGUCAUUGAAGCAUCUGUCUUUCCGAUCUGGAUCACUGAAGAGCAGACCUGACCAUAAUACAGGGGUUUCUUCACAGCAAUAUUUGUGGGCAAAGUACAUUAUAGACAGCAAAGCAGAUAUUUUUUUAACAAAAACACAAUAUAUUUUGCAAGAAGACAACCCCUUCUCUCCAAAACCAGUCUGGGGGGAAAACUGCUUCGUGGAAGCCUCCCUGCUUCGCCUGGCAAGAGGUUUUGAAUAAGAUAUAAGAAGCUUGUCUCAUCACAAAGCUUUUCCAAUAGAAAAUAUGUCACUUGGUCCUGGUAAUGAGUCUAAUUAAGUCAAAAUCUGCAGAAAGAAGAAUUGUAAACAAUUAUUUUCACACCACCUACUGAAAAAAAGAUCUGCUGUUGAACUGGGGAAAGCAACAGUGUAACUGGGGCAUCAGAGGUGCUUAUGGUUAGAAAACCCCCAUAGCCAUAAACUUCACAGCGCAUAUACAGCGACAGCCUCUGCACGAGACACAAGGCAAAGCAAAUGAGGCUGUUUUGUGAAUACAAAUCACCCUCAGCGCUGGCAACGAGACUGCCCAUGCCUUACCUGAAGCAAACAGAAUUUGGUUUUGCUUUAAUGCAUGUUCACUCCUUAUGAAUUGUUUUCAAAGUCACCUUCUUGAACCUGGCAAGUUCGGCUUGCCAUUUCCACCUCUGUCCUGGGAAAGGGGAAAGACAUAGUGGCUAAAACUAAUUCUGUUCUCUGUCCAACAGCACAUGUAGACUUGGCUUAACCUGAGAUAUGGCGGUAUUUGGCCCAGUGUUUGCAUGGUGUUUGUUUUCUUCCCCUUGGUCAACUGGAGCUUCAGUGCCUUAUGUCCAGGAUUCUCCUUGUAUGCUCAUCUGCUUCUGCCCUAAACCAUUUGGGACACCAGCUUUUCAGAGAAAGUGCUGUCUGUUUUUAGGUACAUGCUUUGCUCUAAGACCGUUCAAAUGAUGUGAAGUGAAAUAUUGGCUGAUAAAUUAAGAGUUCAAGUGGCUGCUUCUUUUUCCUUUAUUUUGUAUCAUCUCCAUUUUUGUGGCUUAAAAGAUAUGUUAACGCCAGCCCGGAGCUUGAACGCCACCCCAGUGAGGAGGGAAUGUUAGUGAAUAAUGUGAAUUUAGGUAUUUAAGCAAAACAUUGAAAAUAACACUGUAAUACCUGAAGGGAUAUUCUUCAAUUCUUAAAAUUAUUACAGAGAAUUAAAGUGUUGUUUUAAGCAGCCUGAAAUACUAAUUAUUGCUUUAACGGAGGUGCCACUUAUAACAAACUACAUUUAAAAUUUCAUCAAGAAAGGGAGCACAAGAGAUUAUAGCGUUCAUAUCUACAUUGUUUGUGGGCAGCAGUAAAUUCAGUUUAUCAGCAAGGUAUUCAAAUUAAUACAAAAUGAACCAGCACAUUUACCGGGAGAAAAUUUCUUGUCUUUUCUGAAGCUCGCAGACACCAGAAAGCAAUAUAUUACAGCUCAAAUCUGAGGCAGUAAAUUAUGAGGUUUUUCCCUCUAUCCAAGGUAGAAACUCAACACAAGUAAAUAAAUAAUAACAAGGAAAACCUGAAGCAGACUGCCACUUCUUUCCACAUUGACUCAACUAAAUCAUCCCUUGUGCUUUGAUCAGUUUUAGGAGCGAACGCCUUUUCUUUCUAACCCAAAGAUCUAAAGACCACCUGUAGCGUGGGGGAUGUAGGAGGCGUUUUCGCACAUCCCUCCAUGAGUUGGUGUCCGAACAUUUUUGCCUUGAAGAACAAAGGACUGCGUAGGGAGAGUUCAUGGAAACGAUUAGGGGACGUUGCAGAUACCCACUCUUUCAGUGCUAGUUUAACCUCUACCCUGCAGGAUUCCUGUUUACUUAAGACCUCUGAAGAGCUAGAUUACUCUUGUCGGCAGGAGUUAAAGACACUUAAGAACAGGAAGAACACAAAAUCACAACCUUUGCGAGCCAACCUCAUCUGCCUGGCAACCGAGACUUGCCUAGAUCUUCCAGCCUAAAGAACCAGUGCAGGACCUCCUAGUGUAGGCACUAAUUCCAGGGAAAUAGAAAUCCUUCCUAAGAGAGGGGGUCAUGCUCCCUAGCAAUCUUUCCCCUCACUGAACCAGAUUUUAUCAGGGGAGUUCAGCUCCCCACCUCACCCACUCCCUCUCAGAUGAGAACUCGGGAGAUCUGGGAACUGCAGCAGGCUGUCCUUCGGAGGGUCGUAGCCCAAGCUGCUGGUUUUCCUCUGUGUCAUGCCUGCAGAGUGCACGUCACUAUUUGGGAUGAUUUCUGUGCAGGUGCUCGUGCUAGAUUCCUCCCAACACUUCUACUGUUUUCUUCCUCUUGCUCCUGUUCUGUCACCGUUUCGUGCUUUGCUUCUGGCUUGGUGGGAGACACGAACCCGUGUCACCCCUUGGUGGCUUCCUGGGGCUAUGUCUUACUGGCUUUUAAUUUUGUCUUUUGAAGUACAUACCAUACUUUUUAUAAAAGCUCUGACAAGCCUGUGUUUUGGGAGCAUCUCAACUCAGGUAACCAAGAAGCAGCAGAGCUCACUGGAUAGGAUCUGGCAUGGGUCUCUGAAGUCCUGGGUUCUGCUUCUGCCUCAAGCCCAGGAGCUUUCAGCACCUGUGGAUAAGUCCUUUCACCUCUCUGUUUAUGGACUUUUUACAUAUUUGGCAUUUAUUUUCAAAGAUUUUUGUAGUUUAAAAACAUUGAUUCCCAUGUGCUUGUGUAGAGCCCGACAUACUGUGACUCUGAUUUCACUUGAGUUUACUGAAGUAUGAAGAAAUAACUGGAGGGGUCCUAUGUUCCAGAGAGGCAGGUAAGGGCUGAAAUCAGUAGUACAACCGCCAGUUCUUAUUACUGCAAAUACACUUAUUUCUUAGCUAGUUCUUUCUUUAAGACAUAGUCAAAAUUAUCUCUUAUUGUAGUAUAUAGAAGAAACCUAGAAAAAAAUCCCGGCCUUUUAAAGCCAGAGAAAGCGAGUGGUAUAAAAGAAAGAAGUGAUGUAUGUCGAGACAAGGAACCAAAUUUGUUUGCUUAUUCUUGAAAGAGCACAAUGAUGUGCUUCCACAUUUAGAGAGUAUUUACUUUCUGAAAUAUUUUUUAGAGAGUGUAUUAUGGUCAAAUUCACAAUUGGCCUCAGAGAAGGACAUGGACUUGGAGCUUGUUCAGAGUAAUUUAAUCAAUCUUAUACAAAAAAGCAACAGCCAACCAUUAUGGCCCAAGUCAAUACUAAAAUGAUUUCCCAAAACUCAUUUAAAAAUCACUUCCAGGAACCAACUGGUAGCUUCAAAACUCCGAGGCUCAACUAUAAAUCUAAUUUUCUUUAAGGUCUGUAAUUGAGCUUUUUUUUUUAAUAAAAAAUAUAUUGUACUGCCAUUUCCUUUAAAUAAAAUAUUGCGCAUUGGGUGGCA
Molecule: non-coding RNA, 10440 nt
Organism: Phalacrocorax carbo (great cormorant)
Lineage: Eukaryota; Metazoa; Chordata; Aves; Suliformes; Phalacrocoracidae
Source: RefSeq, a predicted model, not a curated record